Molecule: ribosomal RNA, 468 nt
Filed under: uncultured bacterium
Lineage: Bacteria
Description: partial 16S ribosomal RNA
Rfam family: Bacterial small subunit ribosomal RNA
Source: RNAcentral
GACGAACGCUGGCGGCGUGCUUAACACAUGCAAGUCGAACGGAAAGGCCCUGCUUUUGUGGGGUGCUCGAGUGGCGAACGGGUGAGUAACACGUGAGUAACCUGCUCUUCACUUUGGGAUAACUUCAGGAAACUGGGGCUAAUAUCGGAUAGGAGCCCCUGCUGCAUGGUGGGGGUUGGAAAGUUUCGGCGGUCGGGGAUGGACUGGCGGCUUAUCAGCUUGUUGGUGGGGUAGUGGCUUACCAAGGGUUUGACGGGUAGGCGGCCUGGGAGGGUGAACGGCCACAAUGGGACUGAGGUACGGACCAGACUCCAACGGGGGGCAGCAGGGGGGAAUAUUACACAAUGAGCGGGAGCCUGAUGCAGCAGCGCCGCGUGCGGGAAGACGUCCUGCGGGUUGUAAAACGCUUUCGCCUGUGACGAAGCGUGUGUGACGGUAAUGAAUAAAGAAGCACCGGCUAACUACGUG